GUAGAUAGAGGCGCGUUUUUUAUCAGUCGCUGCGGAACAGAACGCGGAGGUUCGCCAAAGCCGCAGUAAAAGGAAAAAACGCCGAAGGCCGUGCGUUUCCGCCCGUAUGUGCCUGGGGACGCGGUUAACAGCCGUGUCACUGUCAUCCGUCACGGUCGGAUGGGGAGCUAUC
RNAcentral lists this non-coding RNA (172 nucleotides) under human gut metagenome. RNAcentral describes it as "Lysine riboswitch". It matches the Rfam family "Lysine riboswitch aptamer". Rfam says of the family: Riboswitches are metabolite binding domains within certain messenger RNAs that serve as precision sensors for their corresponding targets. The record is from RNAcentral.